This 1346-nucleotide ribosomal RNA is filed under the name uncultured bacterium. RNAcentral describes it as "bacterial SSU rRNA". It matches the Rfam family "Bacterial small subunit ribosomal RNA", at positions 28 to 1381 of the family's 1533-position model. The record is from RNAcentral.
GACGAACGCUGGCGGCGUGCUUAACACAUGCAAGUCGAACGGAAAGGCCCUGCUUUUGUGGGGUGCUCGAGUGGCGAACGGGUGAGUAACACGUGAGUAACCUGCCCUUGACUUUGGGAUAACUUCAGGAAACUGGGGCUAAUACCGGAUAGGAGCUCCUGCUGCAUGGUGGGGGUUGGAAAGUUUCGGCGGUUGGGGAUGGACUCGCGGCUUAUCAGCUUGUUGGUGGGGUAGUGGCUUACCAAGGCUUUGACGGGUAGCCGGCCUGAGAGGGUGACCGGCCACAUUGGGACUGAGAUACGGCCCAGACUCCUACGGGAGGCAGCAGUGGGGAAUAUUGCACAAUGGGCGGAAGCCUGAUGCAGCAACGCCGCGUGCGGGAUGACGGCCUUCGGGUUGUAAACCGCUUUCGCCUGUGACGAAGCGUGAGUGACGGUAAUGGGUAAAGAAGCACCGGCUAACUACGUGCCAGCAGCCGCGGUGAUACGUAGGGUGCGAGCGUUGUCCGGAUUUAUUGGGCGUAAAGGGCUCGUAGGUGGUUGAUCGCGUCGGAAGUGUAAUCUUGGGGCUUAACCCUGAGCGUGCUUUCGAUACGGGUUGACUUGAGGAAGGUAGGGGAGAAUGGAAUUCCUGGUGGAGCGGUGGAAUGCGCAGAUAUCAGGAGGAACACCAGUGGCGAAGGCGGUUCUCUGGGCCUUUCCUGACGCUGAGGAGCGAAAGCGUGGGGAGCGAACAGGCUUAGAUACCCUGGUAGUCCACGCUGUAAACGGUGGGUACUAGGUGUGGGGUCCAUUCCACGGGUUCCGUGCCGUAGCUAACGCUUUAAGUACCCCGCCUGGGGAGUACGGCCGCAAGGCUAAAACUCAAAGGAAUUGACGGGGCCCCGCACAAGCGGCGGAGCAUGCGGAUUAAUUCGAUGCAACGCGUAGAACCUUACCUGGGUUUGACAUGGAUCGGGAGUGCUCAGAGAUGGGUGUGCCUCUUUUGGGGUCGGUUCACAGGUGGUGCAUGCCUGUCGUCAGCUCGUGUCGUGAGAUGUUGGGUUAAGUCCCGCAACGAGCGCAACCCUUGUUCACUGUUGCCAGCACGUUAUGGUGGGGACUCAGUGGAGACCGCCGGGGUCAACCCGGAGGAAGGUGGGGAUGACGUCAAGUCCUCAUGCCCCUUAUGUCCAGGGCUUCACGCAUGCUACAAUGGCUGGUACAGAGAGUGGCGAGCCUGUGAGGGUGAGCGAAUCCCGGAAAGCCGGUCUCAGUUCGGAUUGGGGUCUGCAACUCGACCUCAUGAAGUCGGAGUCGCUAGUAAUCGCAGAUCAGCAACGCUGCGGUGAAUACGUUCCCGGGGCU